Molecule: ribosomal RNA, 503 nt
Filed under: uncultured bacterium
Lineage: Bacteria
Description: bacterial SSU rRNA
Rfam family: Bacterial small subunit ribosomal RNA
Source: RNAcentral
AAAGCUCUUUCGGCCGGGAAGAAAUCGCAUGGGUUAAUACCCUGUGCGGAUGACGGUACCGGCAUAAGAAGCACCGGCUAACUACGUGCCAGCAGCCGCGGUAAUACGUAGGGUGCGAGCGUUAAUCGGAAUUACUGGGCGUAAAGCGUGCGCAGGCGGUUUUGUAAGACAGGCGUGAAAUCCCCGGGCUCAACCUGGGAACUGCGUUUGUGACUGCAAGGCUAGAGUACGGCAGAGGGGGUGGAAUUCCACGUGUAGCAGUGAAAUGCGUAGAGAUGUGGAGGAACACCAAUGGCGAAGGUCAGCCCCCUGGGUCGAUACCUGACGCUCAUGCACGAAAGCGUGGGUAGCAAACAGGAUUAGAUACCCUGGUAGUCCACGCCCUAAACGAUGUUCAACUAGGUGUUGGGGUGGGUAAAACCAUUUAGUACCGGAGCUAACGCGUGAAGUUGACCGCCUGGGAGUACGGCCGCAAGGUUAAAACUCAAAGGAAUUGACGGGAC